UACGUAGGGGGCGAGCGUUGUCCGGAGUUACUGGGCGUAAAGCGCUUGUAGGCGGUCCACCAAGUUUGGGGUGACAGUUGUCGACUUAAUCGGCAAAGUGCCUCAAAGACUGGCGGACUUGAGGGCCACAGAGGGACAUGGAACUCCAGGUGUAGUGGUGAAAUGCGUAGAUAUCUGGAGGAACACCAGUGGCGAAAGCGCGUGACUGGGCCACAACUGACGCUGAGGAACGAAAGCUAGGGUAGCGAAAGGG
This 253-nucleotide ribosomal RNA is filed under the name uncultured bacterium. RNAcentral's name for it is "partial 16S ribosomal RNA". It matches the Rfam family "Bacterial small subunit ribosomal RNA", at positions 524 to 776 of the family's 1533-position model. The record is from RNAcentral.